Molecule: ribosomal RNA, 429 nt
Filed under: Pseudomonadota bacterium
Lineage: Bacteria; Pseudomonadati; Pseudomonadota
Description: Proteobacteria bacterium partial 16S ribosomal RNA
Rfam family: Bacterial small subunit ribosomal RNA
Source: RNAcentral
UGGGGAAUAUUGGACAAUGGGCGAAAGCCUGAUCCAGCCAUGCCGCGUGUGUGAAGAAGGUCUUCGGAUUGUAAAGCACUUUAAGUUGGGAGGAAGGGCAGUAAGCGAAUACCUUGCUGUUUUGACGUUACCGACAGAAUAAGCACCGGCUAACUCUGUGCCAGCAGCCGCGGUAAUACAGAGGGUGCAAGCGUUAAUCGGAAUUACUGGGCGUAAAGCGCGCGUAGGUGGUUCGUUAAGUUGAAUGUGAAAGCCCCGGGCUCAACCUGGGAACUGCAGCCAAAACUGGCGGGCUAGAGUAGGGCAGAGGGUGGUGGAAUUUCCUGUGUAGCGGUGAAAUGCGUAGAUAUAGGAAGGAACACCAGUGGCGAAGGCGACCACCUGGGCUCAUACUGACACUGAGGUGCGAAAGCGUGGGGAGCAAACAGG